UACGUAGGGUGCAAGCGUUGUCCGGAAUUAUUGGGCGUAAAGAGCUCGUAGGCGGUUUGUCGCGUCUGCUGUGAAAACUCGAGGCUCAACCUCGAGACGUCGGUUGAAACCACCUGGCUAGAGUCCGGAAGAGGAGAGUGGAAUUCCCGGUGUAGCGGUGAAAUGCGCAGAUAUCGGGAAGAACACCCGUGGCGAAGGCGGCUCUCUGGGACGGUACUGACGCUGAGACGCGAAAGCGUGGGGAGCGAACAGG
This 253-nucleotide ribosomal RNA is filed under the name uncultured bacterium. Its description in RNAcentral is "partial 16S ribosomal RNA". It matches the Rfam family "Bacterial small subunit ribosomal RNA", at positions 524 to 776 of the family's 1533-position model. The record is from RNAcentral.